Molecule: long non-coding RNA, 947 nt
Filed under: Crocodylus porosus (Australian saltwater crocodile)
Lineage: Eukaryota; Metazoa; Chordata; Crocodylia; Crocodylidae
Description: lncRNA (ENSCPRG00005006153.1)
Source: RNAcentral
CUGACGCAGAGGAAACCAAAUGCAUCUACACGUAUAGAGGACUGUUUGCAGCAUGUGCUGUAAAAGCAGAAGUGGAAGAGAAGGAGGAGAUCUUUCAGGGUUUACUAGCAAUAUUGCAUGGGCUAUGUUUCUGCAGAAGGAGAGUGGUUAAGAAAGGAAAGCUAUGAGGAAGCUGACAGCCAACAUGAGGAAGCUGGAAGACACUAUGACAAAGCAAAAUCAGGACUUCAAACGGCUACAGAGUGAAAAGGAGGAAAUUGAAACAGAACUCUAGAAGCCUACUGCUCAGUCAUUCAUCUGGCAAUCUGGAAAAUGCUGAGGCUGAAGAGGUUAAAAAGGAGCCGUUUGGAAGAAUACAAUUGUUUUUGUAUUACAUUGGAGGGUAACUCGGCUGUUUGUCUGUCCAUUUACGUCAAACGUAUUUCACCGGAAAGGUCAGAGUGUGGCAGUGCAGCUGCAGUCUGGGCCUUCCCGACGGGAGGAAGGUAACACACAGUGCUUUUGAAGUGAUGAUAAGAAGAGAAAACUACAAUUAGGUUUUGAAGCUUUUCUGGUAAAUUUGCAUUUUAAAUUACUUUUCAGUAUAAUUAUGUUUCAUCUUUUUUUCCCCCCACUUUGACUUCUGUAACUCCAUUUCUAAAGCUUGUUAUAAAAACCAUACAGGACUACAUUUUUAAAAAUGAUAGCAAUAUGAUUUUUGUUCAAAAAUAUUCCUUUGAGGUUAAGCAUUAAAAACAAUGGCUGAAGAAGGACCAAAAUGGGAGAUUGUUUUACUGAAUCUUUAGUUUUUAGGGUGGCAAUGGGCAUUUUCCAAACCCUUCAUCUUGUGUAAGAAAUGAAAGAGUUCUAUCACCUCACUAGCUUUACAAACAAAUCCUACCCUAAACUUGGCUGUAGUUUUAGGACUUAAUUCCAUUCACAAUGGGAGUGUUGCCAACGACUUUAAU